ACACACUCUCUCUCUCUCUCCAGACGAUGAAGCAAGAGAAGAAUCACAGGGAAGGUAGAAGAAAAGGAGGGUGAAGAUGGUGCUAUUGGCGAUCGCCAGUUCUUCUCCUUCUCUUCUAAAACAAAUCGAUGUGAGAAAGAGGAGAGGAGGUAUGAAACAGGCAGAAACAAAGGAGAUAUCGUUGAUUGUGGAAAUUGAAGGUUACAAGGCGACUGCCCAUCACAUCCAGGUUUAUGGGAAUAGAUUGUGGAAAUUGGGUAUUUAGUUUGGGGAGAGGGUGGUUCAGUUGAAGAGGUCCGAGAACAUGAUCAAUGGCCAGGCGAAUUCAUCGUCUGGAGUGGUCACCAAUGACAAGUGUAAGCUGAGGUUCCUGGAGUUUGAAGCCAGGAGGAGCCACCAAUUUAUCAUGGAAGCUCUAAUUUUCCAUCUUACACGGAAUAUUUCUUAAGAAGAACCCUGUUUCUUCAGUUUUUUUGUUAGAUGAAAAAUAACAAGACGUGGGAAUCCCGUUUUCUGGGUUACAAGAUUUUGGUUUUAAAUCUGCUGUUGCUGCUUGCAGAACUGAAGAUGAAGAGGAAGAUGGGUCAAGUAUUUGGUUUCAUCACUAAUAGGAUGAUCCAAGACAAGGCUCAAGUGGUGGUUCUUGGGUGGCUUAUAGGAGGAGGGGUGGUGGUUCUUAGUGACUGAAACCAUGGCCUGAGAGAGAGGGGGGUAUUUUUCAUGUUUUUCACUUUGAGGGAUUGGUCACAUUAACAAAAACAAAAUAAAAAGUGGUUUGUUUCUACA
Populus nigra (black poplar) is the source of this 786-nucleotide long non-coding RNA. RefSeq lists it as uncharacterized. The transcript is spliced from 3 exons. The record is from RefSeq and is a predicted model, not a curated record. NCBI's taxonomy places the organism in Eukaryota, Viridiplantae, Streptophyta, Magnoliopsida, Malpighiales, Salicaceae.